CCUCCCUCUAACAGGACUCUGUGUGGAGAACAUGAGAACCAGACCAAAGCUCAGAGGAAGAGGCAGCUGAACACAGCAGACUCUCCUGGACCUGGACCUGCUCCCCUCUGUGUGUCCAUGGAGAGUGACAGGUCGAUGGAGCAACCCCACACCUUUAAAUCUGCACAAAGACCUGCUGAUGAGGGCGUCAGCCAGCAGAGCUCCCAGGUUCUCCGUGGAGGCUCCGCCCCUCAGCAUCAAACACAUCUGGACCUCAUCUUUACGGUGAGAACAAGUCUCC
Salarias fasciatus (jewelled blenny) is the source of this 280-nucleotide long non-coding RNA. RefSeq lists it as uncharacterized. The transcript has 3 exons. Lineage: Eukaryota; Metazoa; Chordata; Actinopteri; Blenniiformes; Blenniidae. The record is from RefSeq and is a predicted model, not a curated record.